UCCGAAAUGGUGUAAUGGUAACAUAAAUCCCUCUCAUUGAAUGAAGAGUAGAUCUCGGAUUAGCCCGGGGUUCGAUUCCCCGUUUCGGAG
Talaromyces proteolyticus is the source of this 90-nucleotide non-coding RNA. The record is from the annotation of a RefSeq genome assembly. NCBI's taxonomy places the organism in Eukaryota, Fungi, Ascomycota, Eurotiomycetes, Eurotiales, Trichocomaceae.